RNAcentral lists this unclassified non-coding RNA (347 nucleotides) under Hevea brasiliensis (rubber tree). Lineage: Eukaryota; Viridiplantae; Streptophyta; Magnoliopsida; Malpighiales; Euphorbiaceae. The record is from RNAcentral.
GAAAUCCGCCCAGUUUGCAAGAAGUUUAUGCAAGAUCCAAUGGAAAUAUAUGUAGACGACGAGGCAAAGCUGACAUUGCAUGGUCUUGUCCAGCACUACAUCAAAUUGAGCGAGAUGGAGAAAAAUCGGAAGUUGAACGACCUCCUUGAUGCGUUGGACUUCAAUCAAGUGGUUAUUUUUGUUAAAAGUGUUAAUCGGGCAGCUGAGCUGGAUAAGUUGUUGGUGGAGUGUAAUUUUCCCUCCAUAUGCAUCCACUCUGGCAUGUCUCAGGAAGAGAGGUUGACUCGAUACAAGGGUUUUAAGGAAGGACAUAAGCGGAUUCUCGUGGCUACAGAUUUGGUUGGUCG